AUUUUCACAUUUGUAUGCUUUCUUAAAAAUUGAAAUACCCAAUGUCAUUUUAUCGACGGAAUCCAUAAUUUAAGUGUCAUUUUCCAGCGUUAUUCCUUUUCAAGAUGCAUGCAGUAACGCAGAAUUGUCGCUUCUGUGGUGCGCAAAAUUAGUACGCGCAAAUUUAAAUACAAGUAAGGUAUUUAAGACUGCUUUAAUACAAGAAAAGUAGUUGAUCACCGACUUCGGUAGUCAUGCUCGCAGAACGAAUGUACAGUAAAUUAGUUAACCAUUCAAUUUUGGAACUUUCUCCGCAAACUAUGGUCAACUCCGAGAGGGAAACGAACGUUAUUGCUUAUUAAUUUAGUAGAAUUCACUGCAAAACUAGAAUUUUAAUGAACACUGCGUUGAGAACAUCUAUAUAUUGCAAUUGUAUUACAAGCAUUAUCUAACUAAUGUGUAAAAUUAAGGUAAAAUAAAUCACUAUCAAAAUCAGUGGAUUGAAAAGGCAUUUUAAGGUCGUAUAUAUAUACAACUGGGCCCGGUUGUUCAAAACUGGAUUAGCGCUAAUCCUGGGUUAAAAUUUAACCUACUGUUUUAGUUUAUGUAUUUCUGCACAUC
Molecule: non-coding RNA, 600 nt
Organism: Paramuricea clavata
Lineage: Eukaryota; Metazoa; Cnidaria; Anthozoa; Malacalcyonacea; Plexauridae
Source: the annotation of a GenBank genome assembly